UAUUAUAUAAUAUGUCUUUGUUGUAAAUGUCUGUAACAUGUCUGUAGAUUUUAUUUUACUUCUAUUUUUUGCUUUGUUCUAUGUUAAUUUUAUUAUUUUUAUUUGCUUUGGCAACACUGAUUGUACCCAUCGGUCAUGCUAAUAAAGCACCUUGAAUUGAAUUGAAUUGAAUACUCUGGGAGACACGGGGAGACCCCGAGAGACUGUGGGAGACUCUGGGAGACGCUGAGGGUCGCGGAGAGAUGCUGGGAAAUGCUGAGAGACACAGGGAGCUAUACGAAAUAAGAAGAAAAAAAAAACGGAAAUAACCUCCCUGUUCCUCCAGUCAUUCACUAGAACUUCCGCCCGGUUGACAAUACAGGUGAAAACAGGUUAACAGCCGGAUACGGGUGAAUUUCCUGUGCAGUGGUGAAGAGGAACCACAGCUGAAAAUGUGUCUUUUCUUUUUCAUUCAAGAUGGAAUAACCCUUUACCUGUUCCUUUGCAGCCUAUGCAUGCUGACACAGGUACCUACUGGAACGUCUAUAAUUCUUAUUUUGUUUCUCUCUUGUGAAUCAUUAGGCCGCUGUGGGAUCGGGGAGCAGGGAAAGACCCAUCAAGGACACAGGCAGAAGGAUGCAGGUCGGCUGCCUUUACAUAAAGAGAGGUGCCGCUCGUUAAAACCGGCGAUUAGCCGGAAUUGUGCCUGGAUGUGCAGAGAAACGUCACAGGUGCCCAUUGCUUGCUGGGACAGACUCCACCUCCCCUGUAGCCCUGUACUGGGCAAACUGGGAAUACAAUUUUCAGCUCCACCUCAAAAGGAUCUCUGCGCCUGGGGCUGGGAGGGGUUUGCCGGUUCGAAUCCCGCGGCCGGCAGAGGAAUCCUACUCCGUCGGGGCCCCCCCUGA
This 887-nucleotide long non-coding RNA is filed under the name Lepisosteus oculatus (spotted gar). Its description in RNAcentral is "lncRNA (ENSLOCG00000023207.1)". Lineage: Eukaryota; Metazoa; Chordata; Actinopteri; Semionotiformes; Lepisosteidae. The record is from RNAcentral.